This is a small nuclear RNA of Suricata suricatta (meerkat), 102 nucleotides long. NCBI's taxonomy places the organism in Eukaryota, Metazoa, Chordata, Mammalia, Carnivora, Herpestidae. The record is from Ensembl.
AUGAGAAAAAGGGCCUCAUGUAUACUAAAAUUGGAAAGAUAGUUAUUAGCAGGUCCCCUAAGCAAGGAUGACCUGCAAAUUCAUGAAGAAUUCCAUAUAUUA